This 2562-nucleotide ribosomal RNA is filed under the name Triticum aestivum (bread wheat). RNAcentral describes it as "partial small subunit ribosomal RNA". Lineage: Eukaryota; Viridiplantae; Streptophyta; Magnoliopsida; Poales; Poaceae. The record is from RNAcentral.
AUGCGAGAUGGAUUUAAGGUAGUUUUAGAGUCCAAUAAAGUAAUCGUGUCAAGAUUUGGACAAUUUAUAGGAAAAGGCUAUGAGUGCGGAGGCUUGUUCCGCUUUUCUCUUUCAGAUUUUUGCAAUAAGUCAAUAAACCAAAUUUGUGCUAGUGUUAAUGAUGAUGCAAGUAUUUGGCACUCUCGUUUAUGUCAUAUUAAUUUUGGUUUAAUGUCUCGGCUAUCCAGCAUGAGUUUAAUUCCGAACUUCACAGUUGCCAAAGGUUCUAAGUGCCAUAGUUGUGUGCAAUCUAAGCAAUCUCGAAAGCCUCAUAAGGCUGCCGAGGAGAGAAACUUGGCACCUCUAGAACUCAUACAUUCUGAUCUUUGUGAGAUGAAUGGUGUGUUGACAAAAGGUGGAAAGAGAUAUUUCAUGACUUUGAUUGAUGAUGCGACUAGAUUUUGCUAUGUUUAUUUGUUGCAAACUAAAGAUGAAGCAUUAGACUACUUUAAAAUCUAUAAAGCUGAAGUUGAAAAUCAACUAGAGAGAAAGAUCAAGCGUCUUAGGUCCGAUCGUGGUGGAGAGUAUUUUCCAAAAGUUUUUGAUGAAUUUUGUGAGGAACAUGGUAUUAUUCAUGAGAGGACGCCUCCCUAUUCACCUCAAUCAAAUGGAGUGGCCGAGAGGAAAAACCGCACAUUGACUGACUUAGUGAAUGCCAUGUUAGACACUGCUGGUUUAUCUAAGGCAUGGUGGGGGGAGGCUCUAUUGACUUCAUGUCAUGUCCUGAAUAGAGUUCCCAACAAUAAUAAAGAGAAAACCCCUUAUGAGGAGUGGGUUGGGAGAAAACAAUCACUUUCUUAUUUGCGCACUUGGGGAUGUUUGGCAAAGGUCAAUAUUCCUAUUCCUAAGAAACGCAAACUUGGACCAAAGACAGUGGAUUGUGUCUUUCUAGGGUAUGCUCAACGGAGCAUUGCUUAUAGGUUUUUAGUGGUAAAAUCUGAAGUACCUGAUAUGCAUGUUGAUACUAUAAUGGAAUCUCGUGAUGCAACAUUUUUUGAGAACAUAUUUCCUAUGAAAGAUAUGCAUAGCAUUGCUAGAUUUUCUUCUGAGAUAAUUCCUGAAUCUAGUACAACUGAUGAAUAUUUCGAACAAUCACAUGAGGAAGUCCUUGAGAAGGAUAACAAUGAAGUUCCUAGAAGGAACAAGAGACAAAGGAUUGCAAAAUCCUUUGGUGAUGAUUUCAUUGUAUACCUUGUGGACGACACACCCAAGACGAUUGCAGAAGCAUAUGCAUCUCCGGAUGUAGAUGAUUGGAAAGAAGCUGUUCAUAAUGAGAUGGACUCAAUUGUUUCUAAUGGAACUUGGGAACUAACUGAUAGACCAUAUGGUUGUAAACCUGUGGGCUGUAAGUGGGUGUUCAAAAAGAAGCUGAAGCCUGAUGGUACUAUUGAUAAGUACAAGGCGCGGCUAGUGGCCAAGGGCUACACUCAGAAAGAAGGCGAAGAUUAUUUUGACACCUAUUCACCCGUUGCUAGAAUGACCACCAUUCGAGUGUUACUUUCCUUGGCUGCCUCUUAUGGUCUUAUCAUUCAUCAAAUGGAUGUAAAGACAGCUUUUCUCAAUGGAGAGUUGGAAGAGGAGAUCUAUAUGGAUCAGCCUGACGGGUUUGUGGUAAAGGGUGAAGAGAGAAAGGUGUGCAAGUUGUUAAAAUCUUUGUAUGGUCUGAAACAGGCACCUAAGCAAUGGCAUGAGAAGUUUGAAAGAACUCUGACUUCUGCAGGAUUUGUCAUUAACGAGGCUGAUAGGUGUGUUUACUAUCGCCAUGGUGGGGGCAAUAGUGUCAUAUUAUGUUUGUAUGUGGACGACAUACUGAUCUUUGGUACAAACAUUAAUGCAAUUAAUGAGGUCAAGUCUUUUCUAUCGAAAAGUUUUGACAUGAAAGAUCUGGGAGAAGCCGAUGUAAUUCUAAACAUCAAACUUAUUCAGGAUAAGAGUGGGAUUACAUUAACGCAAUCUCACUAUGUUGAGAAGGUCUUGAACCGAUUCGGUUUUAUGGAUAGCAAGCCUUCUCCAACACCUUAUGAUCCCAGCGUGACACUCAGAAAGAACAAGAAAGAAACGAGAGAUCAAUUAAGAUACUCUCAAAUUGUCGGUUCACUCAUGUACUUAGCUAGCGCUACAAGACCAGAUAUCUCUUUUGCUGUGAGCAAACUGAGUAGGUUCAUGUCCAACCCGGGUGAUGAUCAUUGGCAUGCACUAGAAAGGGUCUUGUGCUAUCUGAGAGGUACUAUGAGUUACGGAAUUACUUAUUCAGGGCAUCCUGCUGUGCUAGAAGGAUAUAGUGAUUCAAAUUGGAUCUCCGAUGUUGAUGUACUUUACGCAACAAGUGGGUAUGUAUUUACUCAUGGUGGUGGCGCAGUGUCAUGGAGGUCUUGCAAGCAAACCAUAUUGACGAGGUCAACUAUGGAAGCAGAAUUAACUGCUUUGGACACAGCUACUGUUGAGGCAGAAUGGCUGCGUGAGCUCUUGAUGGACUUGCCGGUUGUUGAAAAAACCUGUACCGGCUAUUCUUAUGAAUUGUGA